Passer domesticus (house sparrow) is the source of this 6263-nucleotide long non-coding RNA. RefSeq lists it as uncharacterized. The transcript is spliced from 2 exons. The record is from RefSeq and is a predicted model, not a curated record. Lineage: Eukaryota; Metazoa; Chordata; Aves; Passeriformes; Passeridae.
AAGAAAGAGACUGAUGGAUCAAUCCCAAUUGAUCAAGCAGGAGGGACAAUCACUUAAUGACCUCUUGCAGUCUUUAACUGAAAACCUUCUGGAAAAUGUUACAGAACUGAAUUUAUAAUGCAUCCUGAAAUAGACCGGAGUAGAAGAAAAGAAGCUAGGAAGGAAAAUAAGAGUAAACUGGCUUUCAUACACUGCCAAUGUUAGGACUGGCUUUUAGAAGCAUUUUUCAAUGCGUGUCUGCCUGGGAAAAGCAUAAUUGCAUUUGGAGGCUGAGAGUUAGACAACUUUCCAUUAGCAGUUUAUCCCAAGGCAGUACCACAGACAAGUGUCACCAGAAAGUGGUUUUUGCAUGUCUCACUGAAAGACAUGAGCUGUUGUGGUGCCCAUCCAGAAAAUACAUUUUUAAAACUUACAUGAUACAGGACCAAAGUUUCAUCUUCAGUGGUGACAGCUCUAGCAACAACAACAACAAAAAUUCCUUUAAACUAUACUGCUGGAAAAAAAAUCCAACUGCUAACUCCUGUAUUUCUUAGCUCAUCUCAGCCUAGCUUCUUCCAGACUCAGUUCUUCAGGGCAAAGAUGCUUGGCACUGACAAUUGCACAGUUUCAUAUGCAGUGUAGUGCAAAGAAAUAACAAGGAAGUCAGAUGUUUUUUUCUAGACUCUACUGCUGAUGGGUAAAGGAAGUAAAAUGAGGAUAUUAUUUAUGCUAACAAUAGAAAACUAUUGUUAAAUAUGCUUCUGACUUCUUUUCAUUAUUCAGUGAAGCUUUUAAAUUCAAAGUAGUAGAGGAAAACUGUUACAUACAACAUUUAAUGAAAGGGUGAUGAGACCAGAAGUUGCCAGGCAACUGUCUCCCAUCCUCAAGAAUCUGCUGCAAAAUCAAAACGUAUGCCUCUGAUUUUUAAUGUAAUAUUCUUCAUAAACAUGUGUGGUAAAGUCUGGGCAAUCAAUAUUAAUUACUUGCCUCUGCAGUUUGUCUGCCAAUGACAUUGAAUCAACCUCCUUUUAUAAUGUAACUUUUUACCCACUUCAUUCCAGACACUGUUGCCUUACUCCAGUUGGCCAUAGAAUAGGUAACAUUCUUCUAGAAGUCGAGAACAGUGUUAGUCAGACUUAUUAUAGCAGUGAGUGAAUUUAUGUUUUUUUGAUGUGAGAGAAAACUUUCUCAUGACAUUCAGAAUCAUAGAAAGAUUUAGGAUGGAAAAAACCCUUGAAGAUCAUCUAGUCCAGUUCCCUGCUCCAAGCAAACUAAAGAGGUCUUAAAGUCUUUGCAUGUUAUUCUUUAAAAUGCCUUUUAAAGUUUCUUAUUUUUUUAAAUUAGAGUCUAAACUGUCCUCAAACUAGUCUUCAAACUCUUAAAAUCUUUUAGAAUUCUUUAAAAGUUGCUAAGAAAACAAAUGCUAAUGCAUUCAGGAGAGUGCCAUAGGUUAGUACCUUGGCUUCCUAAAAAGUCUAUGUAUGUGGCCAUUGAAUUUGAGAAAAAAUGGGUUUCCUGUGCUUUUCAGAAACCCAUGUACUAAUACAGGCACCUAGUUCCAGAGGUUUGUUCUUGAAAAUCUUGGUAUGGUGGUGUAAUACAGAGCAAAAUUAUUCCAGCACAGCAAUUAAGAGUCAAGUUAAACACAACCUCAAAGCCAAGGUACUGUGUCAAUAACCUCAAAACACUGUGAGUUCAGUAAAAAGGAAAAAAGGAAAGCAACUUUCCUCGUAUUGGUUUGAUUCCAUAUAAAAAAAGCUGUCUUUACAAAGGCCGUUCAGAAUUACUUCAAUGACAAUCUGGAAGGGCACCAAUAGAUAUUUGUAGUAAACAGUAUUGGUUUGGUCUGCCAUGUGAGUAAAAGUCCAAAGAUAAGAUAAGGCAUGUGCCUUUUAAUAUCUGCCUUUAUUGACUCUGAAACGAUGAUACAGUUUGAAGCUCUGGAGCCUACGGAAUACUUACUCUGCUUUUUUCUGUAUAAUAAGCCUUCUAUAGAUUAUGUUUGUGUCAAGGAUCCUAUCUAGGACAAGCUGUGAUUCCUUUAUCUAUCUGUGGACUACUCUUUCUAGGAUUUACCAUCAGGUAUAAGAGACAGUUUGCACGCCUUGGAGCCACUGUCUCAGGCUUUGCAGGCAUCAAUGAAGUGGUCUCUUUUGGUUUUAGCCUUUUUUAGUGGGGAAAAAAAGGAAGGAAACAAGUUUUAAUGUUGACAAAUACAAAUUUCAUCCUGCUAAUGGAGAGGUAGGCUACCAGUGACAGAGGCAGCAGACUGUGACAGUAUUGCAAAUUGUAGGCUGGGACUGGAGUCAUAAGAGCUUGUGACUCGCAGUAAGAAUACCAUCUCCAUCUCCAGCUUGCCAGGGACUUUCCCUGUCUCCUUUCAAAAAAGAGCCUGCCUGCCUGCUGUGAGCUCUAUCUCAUUUGCUUUCACAUUACCUCAGCACAGUGACUUCCAAUCUGUUGUCUGCAGACCCCCAAGGAAAGGCACGGUGAUACUUUUAAGAGACUUACAGAAGCAAAAGCUAGCCAGUCGGCUUAAAGUUACUAAACUAAGAUGCAUGUCUCCACUGGAAAUGUUAAUAAAAACUCCUAUUGGAAAAGUCAAAGAGUUCAUAUGCUGAAAUCUAAUGACUUGUUUAACUUUGGGUUAGAAAAUUUCACUAGGACAAAAUACCAACUAAGUUAAUAAAGCCAGCUACAGUGCACCUGUGCAUAGUGUGUCUCAAUCUCAUUUAAUUUUCUACAGAAUUGAGACGCCAUUAAUUCUCUUCCUGAAGAAAAAUUGCAAGGCCCCAAAAUAGCAACCUUUUUCAGCAACAAUAUCACUGGUGUGGCAAGCCUGAAACGAUCUAGGAAAACGUGCCACUGAACAGUUUUUAUCCCUUUUCCCUGGCUGCUGUGUUGCCUGUGGAGUGUCUUGAUUUUUGUAUAGUAUAGCAUUUACAUGCUACCAUGACCAAAACCCCUUCCUGGAACAGAUUCAGUAUUGAAGGUAAUUACAGCUGUGCUACAAUCAUAGUGUAGUUUUCUCAGAGGAAAGCCGGUGACAAGAGAGGCACCUUGCUGGCACCUGUUUUAAUACAGUGAAGAGCUUCUCUUCAGUUGAAAUACAUCUGACAAAAAUUUGUCAGGAGGCAAGCUGGACCAGCCAACCGAAAAUAGCAUCACCACCGUGGUGUAUUCUAGAAGUGAAGCUUCUAUGACCCUUUACUGAAAGUUUCUCAAUACUCUUUAAAGUUCUUUUGCUGGUGUGGAAGACAAUUUAGAUGACGAUGAUGAAAGAAGCGUGGUGACAUCUAGACACUUCAUGAGUCCUGUAACUUUAAAUCUGAGAACAGCUGAGGCUGCUCUUAUUUCUUUUAAUCAUUUGGCUAUGGUCAGGCAAUUUUAAUUUCAUCACAUCAUCAUGGAGCCUUUGACACAACUGAACACAGAAGAGAUGUUUACUUAUCUACAGUAUCUUUAUGGGUGAGAUGAUAUAUAUUUUUUCCCCAUAAUGAUCCACAGGUUAUUUUCAGGGAGGAGCAACUCCAUUAUGCAAUUACUCGUUCUUUAGGGCACUAGCACAUAGGUCUCCAUCCCACCCAUGUCCUUUCAAUUUAACUGGUACUCAUGCUCUUAUGGGAAGAUAAGGUUUUCAUGUGGGACACCAAGCGUCAGUGCAUUGAUUACCGAACCUGUUUGUCAGACCCAGGUUCUGCUCUCUGCUUAUUCUCUGAACUGGCUGACCACAUUAAGGUCUUGCAUGAAAACAGUUCUGGUCAUAGCAGAUGGUGCUAGAUGAGUGAUAAUGAUAGUCUAGUCCAACAUUUCACCUAGCUGGUUUGGAACAUUUUUUUACUAACACUCACUAACAGUAGCAAUAACUACAAAAAGGACAGGAGUGAAAAAUCAGAUUGUGCAUCUUAAGAGUUCAGAAUUCAUGGCUAAAGCCACAUUACCAAUAAAGCAAAUGUUAGCUCUAGCGUUAUUUUUGCAUUACAUUGCAUAGGAUUCAUUGUAAAUGGAAGUGAUUUUUUUUCAUUUUUUCAAGGUAAAGGGCUUUAUAUUGUAAGCUGUGGUUUUGUAUGGUGUGUCAAGUGUGCAUCUAGUGUUUACAGAGAAAGUGAAAAUUAUUCUGAUGGUGAUGGGCAAUACUUGCUCUGUUUGUAUAAGCUCCUUUAAAGAUGGCUCAGGUGGAAUCCCACACAGGGAUGGGGUAAUUAUGCUUUGAUGAUGAUCAAACCUGCUUGGAGAAAAGAAACUGCAGGAGAUGGCAGCCUGAAAGUCAUGUGAGGAGCUGGCAAUAUUCAGGUCAAGCAAAGAGAAGCCAGAAACUAGGCCUUGGAAACAAUGGAAAUAACCUUUUGAGAAAUAAAUAAUGGGAAUUUUUUCCUGCAGAUCUGCCUCUGAGAUAGUGAGAAACACAGUUCAAAGCAAAGGUUCAUCCUUCGAGGACACAGCAGGCAACAAAAGAUGUAAAGCCUUUUCUUUCUAAUUGCUUUGCCUGCAAACUCACUGGUAUUUUAGUUGAUAUUAUAAUAGAAGUUGUUGUGUUUGGGUUUUCUGUUUGUUUGGUUGGUUGGGUUUUAAUAUUAUUAUUAUUUUAAAUAGCCUGUUAGUCUUCUUGGAGGACCAUGCUAUAGGCAGGUUAAUCUCCAAGCUCCAGCUGACUUGUGCUGCUUUUGUGUUGACUCAAGGAAGUUCAGUGAACCUUGUCCACUCAUUGAACAGCUAUAAAAGAGUGAAGCAGCUUGCUGGAGCUGCCAGGCAAACGGGCUGUCACCACCCCAGUGCCCUAGCAGCCGUGGUGAUGAAUGUCAUGGCUGUACAGCAUCUUCAGCUCACAAUGUGCUCUUUUCUGCCCUUCAGGUCACAACACUGAGUGCACUGGCCAAGAUUGUUACUUGGGUCUCUGGCAGUGACUCCUUUCUAGGCUGCCUAGUUGGUGGCUCAUGCAAUCUGGCCUUCCCUACAGCUAUUAAUUUACACUUCACUCAUUCUCAUCUCACUGGUUUGUAUUCCUCCUUCUCACACUUCUGAGUAAAGUUUAUCUGGAUAUGCAUAACAAUUUUUUUCCUUGUCUCCCAAACUGACACAAAAUAAUUAAUUUUCAAUUAACAGGAUAUCAUCAACAAAUAUCUCUCCACCAGUCCACAGAUCAACAGCAGCAGGUCAUGUCAGGAUACAACCCUGAAGCCAGAGCUGUUCUCAUUUCCAGGUGAUUGUUGACUUUACUAAGCAUAUUUCCCUUAUUUCUAUAUAGAUCCUGUUCACUCAGGGGAGCUAAUCGCCUGUGCCUGGUACUUAACUGAGAGCAGUGAGGUGUACACUGCUACUCUAUUCCAGCUUCAGAGGUGAUGGCACUCCUCUGAGUUAGCUCCUAAAGGACAUGCGUGAACAACAGCAGUGGGAAGACAUGCACAGAGCAGCUUUUCUGAUGGCUGUUUUCCACACCGUCUUUGGAUGAUACAAAAAGCUGACUGGCUGAGACUCUUCCAAGUAAGACUAUCUGAGUAAGAGAUACUCAAGUCUGACUAAGUGAUCAUCAAGUCUGACUCAGUGAACUGCCCAGUUUUAAUGAGAUAGGAGUGCUGUGCUGGAAUGCUUGCAGGUGGAAGGCUGUGUGCCCCAUAGCACUAUUUCCUUCGUGACCAGGACUAUCUGUCUGACCAAGAAGUGGUGGAACAGAAACCAGCCAUCAGCUGAUACUGAAAUCUGGGACCGCUGAGUCUGGUGGAACACAACCUCACCUUGCUAGGACCUGAAGGCACGCAAAUGGUGUGGUCAGUGAUAUAGAAGUUGCUGACUGGUCUCAGCACUCCCACAGCACCGCUGCUACAGAGGAAACCACCUUCACUGAUGUAGAUUGUGACAUCAGAGAGACUGCCCAACUAUGCUUCAUACAAAAUAGGUGUACUUGCAUAAAAAUAGCUGAGAGUUCAGCUAUCUUUCAGGUUCCAUUGUUGCAGUGGUUUCAGGAGUACAUUUUGAAGCAUUUUCAUCAACUCAAUUUUACAGUCACAAAACAAAGGGAAAUUCCACUCUCGUUGUCAGCUGUGUGGACCAAACACCACAGCUUGGUGUAAAAUCUGAGAACCUUGCAGCCCACCCACACAGGCAGAUUGCUGCCCCAUGAGUUAACAGGUAUUUCUUCAGUCAGCUGCUGAAUUAAAAAACCUGUAAUGUGUUUCUAAUUUCUCGAGAGACUGAGACAGAAAUACUUUUGUUCUGCCUAUUUUCCUGGGACAAAAAAAUGGAUGAGAUUUAUGUGCAGCAUAACAGAAUAAAAAACUGGGGGAUGA